AGUGAACGCUGGCGGUAGGCCUAACACAUGCAAGUCGAACGGCAGCACAGUAAGAGCUUGCUCUUACGGGUGGCGAGUGGCGGACGGGUGAGGAAUACAUCGGAAUCUACUUUUUCGUGGGGGAUAACGUAGGGAAACUUACGCUAAUACCGCAUACAACCUACGGGUGAAAGCAGGGGAUCUUCGGACCUUGCGCGAUUGAAUGAGCCGAUGUCGGAUUAGCUAGUUGGCGGGGUAAAGGCCCACCAAGGCGACGAUCCGUAGCUAGUCUGAGAGGAUGAUCAGCCACACUGGAACUGAGACACGGUCCAGACUCCUACGGGAGGCAGCAGUGGGGAAUAUUGGACAAAGGGCGCAAGCCUGAUCCAGCCAUACCGCGUGGGUGAAGAAGGCCUUCGGGUUGUAAAGCCCUUUUGUUGGGAAAGAAAAGCAGCAGGUUAAUACCCCGCUGUUCUGACGGUACCCAAAGAAUAAGCACCGGCUAACUUCGUG
RNAcentral lists this ribosomal RNA (492 nucleotides) under uncultured bacterium. RNAcentral's name for it is "partial 16S ribosomal RNA". It matches the Rfam family "Bacterial small subunit ribosomal RNA", at positions 29 to 507 of the family's 1533-position model. The record is from RNAcentral.